Long non-coding RNA from Cucumis melo (muskmelon), 1514 nucleotides. RefSeq lists it as uncharacterized. Lineage: Eukaryota; Viridiplantae; Streptophyta; Magnoliopsida; Cucurbitales; Cucurbitaceae. The transcript is spliced from 3 exons. The record is from RefSeq and is a predicted model, not a curated record.
UCGACCUCUUACUUACAUCAUCCUUAACAUUUUUUUCUUUUAAAUUACCAUCACUUUCUUUUCCUCCCUUUGCCAAUUUUCAUGUCUUUUUCCUUCUCCUCUUCUCCGACACCUGUUGUUUCAUUUUCAUUUUCUUUUUCCUCUUCUUCACUAGUGAGUGGCUAGACUAGAUCCGAUGGGCAACCAAACGAAGCAGAUCUUAUGCAUCAACAAUUGUGAGGAUUGGUUUGUAAUCGCGAAGUCAAGGGAGUAUCGAAAAGAUUGAAGAUUGAAGAUGGAAGAUGGAGGUGAGCGUUAGCGUAGCGUGCUUUAAGAUGGAGCUGUAACUUGAAGAUGAAAAUGCAGCCCCUUGUUCAAGAUGGAAUUGAAACUUCAAAUGGAAUGGUAACUUGCAGAAGGGAGGGUGGAGAUUAAGAUUUGCUCGUUUGAAGAAGAUGGAAAAUCGAAAAAGAAAAAAGAAAAAUGGCGAUGAUGCAAGACGAAGAUGAAAGACGAUGGAAAAUGAAAAAUGGUGAUGAAGGAAGACAUAAGAAUGGAAAACGGAGAUGAAUGAAGAUGGAAAGGGAAGGAAAAAGAAGAUCACUUCAACGGUCUGCAAAAUGGAGAUGAAAUGUUAUUAUUUUGAAAGGACAAGUGUGUAAGUGUAAUUAUGUUUCAACAUUUAUGAAAGAGUAAUUUCUUAAUGAAAGUAGCUUGUAAUCCACAAUUAUGUAUUAUGUAACAUCCUCACCAAGAAAAUUGUUCUCUCUACCCAUACGACAUAACUAACGCAUUGGUUGUUAACCACACAAUCACACAAUUCAUGUCAAUUUUCUAUACUUUUACAUUUUCAUAUUCUUUUUUUUUUUUUUUCAAUUUCAAGUACUAUAAGUUUUCUCACACUACUAAAAACAUUAAAACAAUGCUUUUUGAUUGGAUGGUAGGAAUUUAUUGUUGUUCAUCAUUAAAUCAAUGAAUUAUGACAAAGUAUUUGUCUUUUUAAAAAUACAAAUCAUAUAAGCCUUUCAAACAAUGGAGCUAAAUGGGUAGUGAGGACAUGGAGGAAGAGAAACCUCUAAAUUCCCUGCAAGCAUUAACAUAACAUUCUCCAUGGUUGGUCUUUUAGAUGGCUCUUCUUGAAUGCACCAAAUUGCUACUUUUAAAAAUCUUUCAACUCUAACAAUGUCAUCUAUGGCCUCCAUAUCUCCUUCAAUUAAAACAUCCAACCUUCCUUGUUCAUAGCAAUCAUAAGCCCAAUCAGUCAAAACCUCUCUCUCUCCUUGAGCACCAUCACCAACUUCCAUCUCCACAUUCCUUCUACAACAUAUGAUCUCUAGCAACAACACUCCAUAGCUGUACACGUCGACCUUGGCAUUUAUCGGCGAAGAUCUGAACCAAUCUGGAGCCACAUACCCUUUUGUUCCUCUUAUGCCAGUUUCGGUUCUACUUUGAUCCAUCUUUAACAAUUUUGCCAACCCGAAAUCAGAGAUCUUGGCGUUGCAAUCGUCGUCGAGAAGUAUGUUUUGAGGCUUUAU